Molecule: ribosomal RNA, 301 nt
Filed under: uncultured bacterium
Lineage: Bacteria
Description: partial 16S ribosomal RNA
Rfam family: Bacterial small subunit ribosomal RNA
Source: RNAcentral
CAGUCGCCGCGGUAAUACGGAGGGUGCAAGCGUUAAUCGGAAUUACUGGGCGUAAAGCGCACGCAAACGGUCUGACAAGUCAGAUGUGAAAUCCCCGGGCUUAACCUGGGAACUGCAUUUGAAACUGUCAGGCUGGAGUCUUGUAGAGGGGGGUGGAAUUCCAGGUGUAGCGGUGAAAUGCGUAGAGAUCUGGAGGAAUACCGGUGGCGAAGGCGGCCCCCUGGACAAAGACUGACGCUCAGGUGCGAAAGCGUGGGGAGCAAACAGGAUUAGAUACCCGAGUAGUCCCUGUCUCUUAUAC